This 76-nucleotide transfer RNA is filed under the name Chlamydiota bacterium. RNAcentral describes it as "Chlamydiae bacterium tRNA-Trp". It matches the Rfam family "tRNA". From Rfam's summary of the family: Transfer RNA (tRNA) molecules are approximately 80 nucleotides in length. Their secondary structure includes four short double-helical elements and three loops (D, anti-codon, and T loops). Lineage: Bacteria; Pseudomonadati; Chlamydiota. The record is from RNAcentral.
CGGGUGUGUAGCUCAGCUUGGUAGAGCAACGGUCUCCAAAGCCGUCGGUCGGGGGUUCGAAUCCCUCCGCACUCGU